GAGCGGUGACGUCCUCCCUUGCCUGCCUCCUCAAGUAUUGGCGCAAGAGCAACAUCAUAAGCCUUGGCCGUCCGCGGGUUUCCUGUAUUGCGUACCUACACGAAGGAAUUCGAGUGUCCCAACGUUUAACGUUCUCCUAGUGCCGCCCCGGCAAGGGUGCGGUGUGAGGUGAACCGUGAAGGCAAAUUUGUGUUCCAAGACAAUCGUAGCACACGUUGUUGUUUUGGCCCACGAAGUGCAGCCUGAGCUCUCGGAUGCGGAAUACCAUGAGGGCAGGGGGUCUCGGCCUCCGUGUGCCCACGCUCAGCGUUAAU
RNAcentral lists this unclassified non-coding RNA (314 nucleotides) under Ixora sp. Alejandro 11-068. RNAcentral describes it as "contains 3' external transcribed spacer, ETS". The record is from RNAcentral. Lineage: Eukaryota; Viridiplantae; Streptophyta; Magnoliopsida; Gentianales; Rubiaceae.